CCUACGGGGGGCAGCAGUGAGGAAUAUUGGUCAAUGGUCGGGAGACUGAACCAGCCAAGCCGCGUGAGGGAGGAAGGUACAGAGUAUCGUAAACCUCUUUUGUCAGGGAACAAAGUCGGGGACGUGUCCCCGGAUGAGUGUACCUGAAGAAAAAGCAUCGGCUAACUCCGUGCCAGCAGCCGCGGUAAUACGGAGGAUGCGAGCGUUAUCCGGAUUUAUUGGGUUUAAAGGGUGCGCAGGGGGGCUGUUAAGUCAGGGGGUAAAGCCCGGGGCUCAACCCCGGGCCCGCAUUUGAUACUGGCAGUCUCGAGUAGGAGAGAAGUAUGCGGAAUGCGCGGUGUAGCGGUGAAAUGCAUAGAUAUCGCGAAGAACUCCGAUUGCGAAGGCAGCAUGCCGGCUCCACACUGACGCUGAGGCACGAAAGCGUGGGUAUCGAACAGGAUUAGAUACCCGAGUAGUC
This 460-nucleotide ribosomal RNA is filed under the name uncultured bacterium. RNAcentral's name for it is "partial 16S ribosomal RNA". It matches the Rfam family "Bacterial small subunit ribosomal RNA", at positions 338 to 795 of the family's 1533-position model. The record is from RNAcentral.